UACGGGGGGGCAAGCGUUGUUCGGAAUUACUGGGCGUAAAGGGCUCGUAGGCGGCCAACUAAGUCAGACGUGAAAUCCCCAGGCUUAACCUGGGAACUGCGUCUGAUACUGGAUGGCUUGAAUCCGGGAGAGGGAUGCGGAAUUCCAGGUGUAGCGGUGAAAUGCGUAGAUAUCUGGAGGAACACCGGUGGCGAAGGCGGCAUCCUGGACCAAUAUUGACGCUGAGGAGCGAAAGCCAGGGGAGCAAACGGG
Molecule: ribosomal RNA, 252 nt
Filed under: uncultured bacterium
Lineage: Bacteria
Description: partial 16S ribosomal RNA
Rfam family: Bacterial small subunit ribosomal RNA
Source: RNAcentral